Vicia faba (fava bean) is the source of this 306-nucleotide non-coding RNA. Lineage: Eukaryota; Viridiplantae; Streptophyta; Magnoliopsida; Fabales; Fabaceae. The record is from the annotation of a GenBank genome assembly.
AUGGAUUUUAUUAUUCGCACCUUUUUGAAGGGUGGUUAUUGCGUACACUUACAUCGAUCAGUGUAUAAGACAAGUUGUUGUGGAGCAGGCACUGCUGCUGAUACAGAGGCAAUAAUAGGUAUGAACACCGUCUUAUAUAUGAUAUGGUUGUGUAUGCUGUUAAAAGUGACGGAGGCUAUGUAUAGGCCUGAAAGAAUUAUGAUGGGGAUGUGCAGAGUGGAACACACAAAUAUUAUUUUAGUCUCAGUAAUAUUUAUAUUUAUACAGUCAAUUUACUACAUUUUAUUGUUUAGAAUUCAAUUCUAA